AUUGAACGCUGGCGGCAUGCUUUACACAUGCAAGUCGAACGGUAACAGGCCUUCGGGUGCUGACGAGUGGCGAACGGGUGAGUAAUGCAUCGGAACGUGCCCAAUCGUGGGGGAUAACGUAGCGAAAGUUACGCUAAUACCGCAUAAGCCCUGAGGGGGAAAGCAGGGGAUCGCAAGACCUUGCGCGAAUGGAGCGGCCGAUGUCAGAUUAGCUAGUUGGUGGGGUAAAGGCCUACCAAGGCGACGAUCUGUAGCGGGUCUGAGAGGAUGAUCCGCCACACUGGGACUGAGACACGGCCCAGACUCCUACGGGAGGCAGCAGUGGGGAAUUUUGGACAAUGGGCGCAAGGCCUGAUCCAGCCAUGCCGCGUGCGGGACGAAGG
This 383-nucleotide ribosomal RNA is filed under the name uncultured bacterium. Its description in RNAcentral is "bacterial SSU rRNA". It matches the Rfam family "Bacterial small subunit ribosomal RNA", at positions 29 to 414 of the family's 1533-position model. The record is from RNAcentral.